UACGGGGGGGGCAAGCGUUGUUCGGAAUUACUGGGCGUAAAGGGUUCGUAGGUGGCUCGCUAAGUCACACGUGAAAUCCCUCAGCUUAACUGGGGAACUGCGUGUGAGACUGGCAAGCUCGAGUGCAGGAGAGGAAUGCGGAAUUCCAGGUGUAGCGGUGAAAUGCGUAGAUAUCUGGAGGAACACCGGUGGCGAAGGCGGCAUUCUGGACUGCAACUGACACUGAGGAACGAAAGCCAGGGGAGCAAACGGG
This 253-nucleotide ribosomal RNA is filed under the name uncultured bacterium. Its description in RNAcentral is "partial 16S ribosomal RNA". It matches the Rfam family "Bacterial small subunit ribosomal RNA", at positions 524 to 776 of the family's 1533-position model. The record is from RNAcentral.